Molecule: ribosomal RNA, 1617 nt
Filed under: uncultured eukaryote
Lineage: Eukaryota
Description: SSU rRNA
Rfam family: Eukaryotic small subunit ribosomal RNA
Source: RNAcentral
UGUCUAAGUAUAAGUUAUAGAAGGCGAAACUGCGAAUGGCUCAUUAAAACAGUUAUAGUAUAUUUGAUAAUGUUUUUACAUGGAUAACCGUGGGAAACUAGGGCUAAUACAUGCAUAAAGACCUUCGGGUUGUAUUUAUUAGCUAUAACCAAUGGCACUGCCUAUUGAGGAUUCAUAAUAACUGAUCGAAGCGCAUAAGUAUGCGCUAAAUCUUUCUAGUUUCUGCCCUAUCAGCUUUCGAUGGUAGUGUAUUGGACUACCAUGGCUAUCACGGGUAACGGAGAAUUGGGGUUCGAUUCCGGAGAAGGAGCCUGAGAAACGGCUACUACAUCUACGGGAGGCAGCAGGCGCGUAAAUUACCCAAUCCUGACUCAGGGAGGUAGUCACAAGAAAUAGUAUACCAGAGAUUAUAUCUCUAGUUUUGCAAUGGAUUUAAUUUAGACCCUUAUUUGAAAUCUAUUGGAGGGCAAGUCUGGUGCCAGCAGCCGCGGUAAUUCCAGCUCCAAUAGCGUAUCUUAAUGUUGUUGCAGUUAAAAAGCUCGUAGUCGAAUUUCUGGCCGGGACACGUUGCUCCUAGCAAAUGUGGGCCUAGGUCAUCCGCCUGUGAUCAAUUCUCGUGUUUCAACGCUCGGUCUUAGGAGCAGGCACUUUACUUUGAAGAAAUCAGAGUGUUUCAGGCAGGCUUUCGCUUGAAUACACCAGCAUGGAAUAAUGGAAUAGGACUGGUUCAUUUUAUUGGUCACUUGAACUAGUAAUGAUUAAUAGGGACAGUUGGGGGCAUUCGUAUUUGACAGUCAGAGGUGAAAUUCUUCAAUUUGUCAAAGACGAACUAAUGCGAAGGCAUUUGCCAAGGAUGUUUUCAUUGAUCAAGAACGAAAGACAGGGGAUCAAAGACGAUUAGAUACCGUCGUAGUCCUGUCCGUAAACUAUGCCGACUGGGGAUUGGUGGAGUACUAACUACAUCAGCAUCCAAUGAGAAAUCAAAGUCUUUGGGUUCUGGGGGGAGUAUGGUCGCAAGGCUGAAACUUAAAGGAAUUGACGGAAGGGCACCACCAGGAGUGGAGCCUGCGGCUUAAUUUGAUUCGACACGGGAAAACUUACCAGGGCAAGACUUUUGUAGGAUUGAUAGAUUGAGAGGCCUUUCUUGAUUGGAAGGGUGGUGGUGCAUGGCCGUUCUUAGUUGGUGGAGUGAUUUGUCAGGUUAAUUCCCUUAACGAACGAGACCUUAACCUGCUAACUAGUAGCGGUUAAUAUUUAGCCGUGUACUUCUUAGAGGGACUAUUACCAAAAGUAAUGGAAGUUUGAGGCAAUAACAGGUCCGUGAUGCCCUUAGAUGUCCUGGGCCGCACGCGUGCUACACUGAUAGACGCAACAAGUUCUACCCUAACCCGAAAGGGGCUGGGUAAUCUUCAAAAUAUCUAUCGUGCUAGGGAUUGAUCAUUGCAACUAUUGAUCAUGAACGAGGAAUUCCUAGUAAGCGCAAGUCAUUAUCUUGUGCUGAUUACGUCCCUGCCCUUUGUACACACCGCCCGUCGCUCCUACCGAUUUUGAGUGAUCCGGUAAACUUUCUGGACUGAAUUGUUUCGGCGAUGAGGGAAGUUGAGUAAACCUUAUCAC